UACGUAGGGGGCAAGCGUUGUCCGGAAUUAUUGGGCGUAAAGAGCUCGUAGGCGGUUUGUCGCGUCUGCUGUGAAAACUCGGGGCUUAACCCCGGGCCUGCAGUGGGUACGGGCAGACUAGAGUGCGGUAGGGGAGACUGGAAUUCCCGGUGUAGCGGUGAAAUGCGCAGAUAUCAGGAGGAACACCGGUGGCGAAGGCGGGUCGCUGGGCCGUAACUGACGCUGAGGAGCGAAAGCGUGGGGAGCGAACAGG
RNAcentral lists this ribosomal RNA (253 nucleotides) under uncultured bacterium. RNAcentral describes it as "partial 16S ribosomal RNA". It matches the Rfam family "Bacterial small subunit ribosomal RNA", at positions 524 to 776 of the family's 1533-position model. The record is from RNAcentral.